CCUACGGGUGGCAGCAGUGGGGAAUAUUGGGCAAUGGAGGCAACUCUUACCCAGCAAUGCCGCGUGAAUGAAGAAGGUCUUCGGAUUGUAAAGUUCUUUAAUUGGGGACGAAAAAAAUGACGUUACCCAAGAAAUAAGCCCCGGCUAACUACGUGCCAGCAGCCGCGGUAAUACGUAGGGGGCAAGCUUUUUUCGGAAUGAAUGGGGGUAAAGGGUGUGUAGGCGGUGUAGCAAGUUAGAAUGGAAAUACCUAGGGCUUAACCCAGGUUCUGCGUUUAAAACUGCUAUACUUGAGUGCAGUAGAGGAAAGCGGAAUGCCUAGUGUAGCGGUGGAAUGCGUAGAUAUUAGGAGGAACAUCAGUGGCGAAGGCGACUUUCUGGACUGUAACUGACGCUGAGGCACGAAAGUGUGGGGAGCAAACAGGAUUAGAUACCCUUGUAGUC
This 444-nucleotide ribosomal RNA is filed under the name uncultured bacterium. Its description in RNAcentral is "partial 16S ribosomal RNA". It matches the Rfam family "Bacterial small subunit ribosomal RNA", at positions 338 to 795 of the family's 1533-position model. The record is from RNAcentral.